UCUCACAACACCUUUUUUACAUAAAAAAAUAUUAUUAGUCUUAAUAUUAAAUAAAUAACGUGAAACGUUAUUCAAGUAGUUAUCCCAAGGAUAAAAAUAAAACUUUUCCAAUCCUUUCCCUUUUAUUACCGUUACUUUUAGAUCGUUAUUUUCAAUUGUGCUAAACAUUCGCACCCACACUAUGACCGACGCCAGUAGGCGCCGUUUGUUAGCUAAAAAUAAAAUCCAACGAAGCCGCAUUAUAACAGUUCCCUUCACGAGUAUCAAACCACAAAUACGCCGGAGUUGUUAUUACGAACGUCGGUGUCGGCGUAGCAUACUUUCCAUAUAACAACGGUUUUUUUGGGAAACUGCUGAAGAAAAACAUUGAAAUUUGCAUUCAAAUUGCCAUACAGAGUGGGUAUGUAAUAACAAAGGAGACGACGCUUCAACCAAAUUGCUACUAAACUUUGUGUAUAUUGCCAAAGCAAGUGCACUUAAUGAUUUCUACCUCAAUUGUAGCGUCGAUGAUGAUAAACGUGACUGAUAUCCAAGAAGCACUUUAUUCCUCAGUUCUUAAUUUAGUGUUCCUAAUUAUAAUUAUUUGGAAUUUAGUGGAAUACACCUUAGAUAAUUUUGCUGUAUUUUUAAAGAAAAAUUGUUAUUUUGUAUUGUCAUAGUAAUAAAUCAAUAAACCAAAUUGAAACGAAUCGAUUUUA
Long non-coding RNA from Anthonomus grandis grandis, 698 nucleotides. RefSeq lists it as uncharacterized. The record is from RefSeq and is a predicted model, not a curated record. The transcript is spliced from 2 exons. Lineage: Eukaryota; Metazoa; Arthropoda; Insecta; Coleoptera; Curculionidae.